Molecule: long non-coding RNA, 1224 nt
Organism: Drosophila montana
Lineage: Eukaryota; Metazoa; Arthropoda; Insecta; Diptera; Drosophilidae
Exons: 7
Source: RefSeq, a predicted model, not a curated record
UUUUUGGUUAGUGGUGUAAUCCCAUUCCUGGCCCGCAGUCCGCACAAUCGAUAACAACAAAGCUACACGUCUGUAGCAAAACAGACUCACACAACACUACUCAAAAUGAACCACAUAAUCGAUAACAAAUAUUCGGAACUGCUAACUCAUGAACAAAAUAAACAGCUGUAACAACAAUGAAAAUGUAAACAACAAAGAUUGGGCCCCGGUUCCGGACCCAGCGUACCCGCCCCACCAUGAGACGAUCACCUGCACUCGUCUCCCUCUUUUUGACGUGUCGGCCAUCAUGCCCACUCUCCCCAACAAUAUGAAUUUAGCCGGACAUUCUUUUCUUUCAAUUACUAUUUAGAAUCUCAUGCAAGUGGAUAUUUCGUUAACUUCACAGGUGCAUAUAAUGAGGUCUCCAUUCAGAUUAAUUAUUUUUCAUGCACGUAAACAUUUCUUCUCCAGAAUUCAUUUUUUUUAUUUUUAACAGAACUAAAUGGAACAGGCGACGAAAUACUACAAAGAUAUUGCUAGUCGCCGCAAAAAGAGACAAGCAAGGGGGCAAUUUAGAGGCAAUCGUUGCGCCGAUAUAGGAACAAUGUGCCCGCACAAAUACUGAGAACUGGGUAUGUCACGAUAAUCAGUCGUGCAGCAGGUAGGUGAUAUAUAUCUGUAUUAAAUCGCUUAAUUCUACCUUACUCUACCUAAAGAGCUCUCUGGGGGGUGGUAAGGGGCGAUAUAAGUGGGUAAUCCAAACUAGGCGCAGGUGCAUCACCUUUGGAGUUUCCCUCACCGUUCGCACUCUUAAGUGGCGCUCGGCGUAAGUGCCUAUGGAGUACAAUCAGGAGUCUUCAUCUGACUCUGCCAAGGGCUCGAGCGAAGAGGGGCAAAAUGGAACGGACUCACUCGGAGGAUGUGGGCGUGUCUCGCCUGUGGACGCUUCUUCGUUGUUGGAGCCCGGUCGUUGGUGGCUCGUCUCGUCGCCUUCAGGGUUGCGCCGAUGCUUGGCUGGCGGCGUCGCGGAUAUGUCUGGUGAAUCGCCGAAUCCUGGCCUUUGAGAUGUUUCAUGGCCCUCUCUGGUGCGGGAGCUGGUCCCUUCGUUGCCGGAGCCGUUUACUUUGCUAACAGUCCUCUGAUUUUUAUUGGUUCGGCUCUCGUCGCACUUAAGUUUUAAGUCUCUUUUAAUUUUAUAUAUUUGGUGACUCGAAUGGUUCAAUUCACGUAUAUUUAUUAAAUUGC